AUGCUCGCUUCGGCAGCACAUAUACUAAAAUUGGAAUGAUGCAGAGAAGAUUAAGAUGGCCCCUGUGCAAGGGUGACAUGCAAAUUCUUGACGCUCUCCAUAUUUUU
Small nuclear RNA from Cavia aperea (Brazilian guinea pig), 107 nucleotides. NCBI's taxonomy places the organism in Eukaryota, Metazoa, Chordata, Mammalia, Rodentia, Caviidae. The record is from Ensembl.